AUGGGUCCGUGCAGGUCGGAAAUGUCCCUCUGGGACCCCUCUGCCACCAGCGCAGGCUCCUGGGGGCUGUUGCUGACCCUCCUCGUCCUGCACCCACUGCCCGGCCGCCCACGAAUGCUUGGAGCUGGCCCGCACCAUCGAGGGCGUCCUCAAGGAGCUGCGCAGCGUCCCUCGGGACAUCCCCGCGGACACCCGCAGCCUCUUCCGCACCGGCAGCCCCAUCGCCCGCGUCGGCAGCCGGGACCUCCAGGGGCUGCCCAGCCUCAGCACCAUCACCCUCUCGCUGGCCAGCAACUGGUGAGACCCCGGCAGGGGGGUUGUGGGGCCCCCAUGGCAUUGCUGCACCGCUCCGGGGGAUUUUGGGGUUUGGGGGGGGAGGUCCUCAAUGCUUGUGCCCAAAUCCCCCACUCCCUUCCUUUGGGCCAAAGUGGGGGCUCAGCCCAGCAAGGGGCGCACGCUGGAGGGAUGGUGUGUGCGCCCAGCCGGUGCCCCACGCCGGGGUGCUGCGGGGCGCUCGCACCCCUCCACCCCGGAAAGGAGCUGCCUUCGCCCGGGCGCCUCUCCGGGGGAAGGCAGGGCACCCGCUGGCCUGGGCACCGGCGAUCCGGGCGCAGUUCUGGCUCGGGAGAGAGGAACCCCGUGCUUGGGGUGGGACGUCGCUGGGCUGGACCCGGGGCAGGAGAGACGGUGCCGAUGCCGGCGCAUGUUCCCUGCCUCAGUUUCCCCCUGGCAAGACCAGCCUCGUUCGGGAAGCCCCGGCUGCACCUCGCGGACCAGAAGAACGGGUCCGAUGGGAGCAGGGCUGGGGCGCGGGAUGGGAAUCGCUCCUUGCACCCGUUCCCUUCCCGCCAUGCGAGCGGCGGGGCCGGGCGCUGGCUCUGGGCAUGCCCCGGCUGGCGCCCACGCGCUCCCCGACCGCCCCGCGCAGAAAUGAGGCAGAACCUGUUCUCGGCGCCCGCUCGGCCGCCACGGAGCCGGUGCCAGCGCCCGGCGGGGCCGCCCCACUCUGUGUCUGCGUCUGCGCCCCGCGGCCGGGGCAGGAUGUGGCCGGCGCAAGCGCAGGGUGCUCUGCCUGCUGGGUGCUGCUCCCCUCGAACGGUGAAAUCGGGGCUCAACCGGGUCCCUGGGGAAGGGGAGAGGGUUUUGCUCCAUCGGACGGUGGCUCGUGCCGUAUCUGGAGCAGCUGGGGCAUUGUGCAGGGCUCCAGGCCUGGAGUCUCUGCAAGAAAAACUGUCCUCAGGGAUGUCCCAGCUCCUUGCCUGGCUUUUCCUGGGGACCAGGGCGUUCCCAGAUGCCACAGUCUGA
RNAcentral lists this long non-coding RNA (1305 nucleotides) under Apteryx haastii (Great spotted kiwi). RNAcentral describes it as "lncRNA (ENSAHAG00000011658.1)". Lineage: Eukaryota; Metazoa; Chordata; Aves; Apterygiformes; Apterygidae. The record is from RNAcentral.